This 125-nucleotide small RNA is filed under the name Marmota monax (woodchuck). The record is from RNAcentral. Lineage: Eukaryota; Metazoa; Chordata; Mammalia; Rodentia; Sciuridae.
GCCAGGCAUGGUAGCUCAUGCCUGUAAUCCCAGGGGCUUGGGAGGCUGAGACAGGAGGAUUGCAGGUUCAAAGCCAGCCUCAGCAAAAGCAAGGUGCUAAGCAAGUCAGUGAGACCCUGUCUCUA